Molecule: ribosomal RNA, 618 nt
Filed under: uncultured bacterium
Lineage: Bacteria
Description: bacterial SSU rRNA
Rfam family: Bacterial small subunit ribosomal RNA
Source: RNAcentral
UUAGUGGCGGACGGGUGAGUAACGCGUGAGCAACCUGUCCUGCAGAGGGGGACAACAACGGGAAACCGUUGCUAAUACCGCAUGAGACCACGGGCUCGCAUGGGGCCGGGGUAAAAGGAGGAAUCCGCUGCAGGAGGGGCUCGCGUCCCAUUAGAUAGUUGGCGGGGUAACGGCCCACCAAGUCGACGAUGGGUAGCCGGACUGAGAGGUUGAACGGCCACACUGGGACUGAGACUCGGCCCAGACUCCUACGGGAGGCAGCAGUGGGGAAUAUUGGGCAAUGGGCGCAAGCCUGACCCAGCAACGCCGCGUGAAGGAAGAAGGUCUUCGGAUUGUAAACUUCUGUCAUUGGGGACGAAGGAAGUGACGGUACCCAAUGAGGAAGCCCCGGCUAACUACGUGCCAGCAGCCGCGGUAAUACGUAGGGGGCGAGCGUUGUCCGGAAUUACUGGGCGUAAAGGGUGCGUAGGCGGCGAUGCAAGUCCAUUGUGAAAAGCCCGGGCUUAACCUGGGAGGUGCAGUGGAAACUGCAUGGCUUGAGUGCAGGAGAGGAAAGUGGAAUUCCUAGUGUAGCGGUGAAAUGCGUAGAUAUUAGGAGGAACACCAGUGGCGAAGGCG